UGACACGCUGAGAGGAGAUGCAUGGCCGACGUCAGCCUGUGUCGUGAGAUGACCUGUUAAAUCAGGUAACAGGCGAGACCCGCGUGUAUAGUUGCUAUCUGAUGAAGAAGCACUCUAUACAGACUGCAUGGGUAACCAUGAGGAAGGCGCGGGCUACGUUAGGUAGUACGUCCCGAAUACCCUGGGCGACACGCGCGCGGCAAUGCUAGAUUCAAUGAGACGCAACUCUGAAAAGAGAAGCUAAUCUCCAAAAUUUAGCUUAGUUCAGAUUGAGGUUUGAAACUCAGCCUCAUGACGCUGGAAUCCGUAGUAAUCGUUCUUUAGCAUAGAACGGUGAAUAUGUCCCGGUUCCUUGCACACACCGCCCAUCAAACUAACCGAGUUUUGCAUUGACGAGGCUUUUCGAAGACGAAUCUUUGUAAGACAAGGUAAGUUAAGUUGACACAAGGUCACCGUAGGGGAACCUGCGGUGGGAUCACCUCCUA
This 485-nucleotide ribosomal RNA is filed under the name Candidatus Pacearchaeota archaeon. RNAcentral describes it as "bacterial SSU rRNA". It matches the Rfam family "Archaeal small subunit ribosomal RNA", at positions 973 to 1478 of the family's 1478-position model. Lineage: Archaea; Nanobdellati. The record is from RNAcentral.